GACGAACGCUGGCGGCGUGCUUAACACAUGCAAGUCGAACGGAAAGGCCCUGCUUUUGUGGGGUGCUCGAGUGGCGAACGGGUGAGUAACACGUGAGUAACCUGCCCUUGACUUUGGGAUAACUUCAGGAAACUGGGGCUAAUACCGGAUAGGAGCUCCUGCUGCAUGGGGGGGGUUGGAAAGUUUCGGCGGUUGGGGAUGGACUCGCGGCUUAUCAGCUCGUUGGUGGGGUAGUGGCUUACCAAGGCUUUGACGGGUAGCCGGCCUGAGAGGGUGACCGGCCACAUUGGGACUGAGAUACGGCCCAGACUCCUACGGGAGGCAGCAGUGGGGAAUAUUGCACAAUGGGCGGAAGCCUGAUGCAGCAACGCCGCGUGCGGGAUGACGGCCUUCGGGUUGUAAACCGCUUUCGCCUGUGACGAAGCGUGAGUGACGGUAAUGGGUAAAGAAGCACCGGCUAACUACGUG
RNAcentral lists this ribosomal RNA (468 nucleotides) under uncultured bacterium. RNAcentral's name for it is "partial 16S ribosomal RNA". It matches the Rfam family "Bacterial small subunit ribosomal RNA", at positions 28 to 507 of the family's 1533-position model. The record is from RNAcentral.